UGAAACUUAAUGUUAACAAUCAAUUGGAACUUUUUAUUAAAGUGACAGUGACCUUUUGCAUAAUGGGCCAGCAAGUUAUUUUUAUAGCAAGCUUAAUUUUUUAAAGUAGGCGCAGAUAAAUCAAGUUUUAAAAAGCAAUAUAGUUAUAAAAAUAAGACCCGAAACCGAGUGAUCUAACCAUGAACAGAUUGAAAAAUAGGUAAAACUAUUUGGAGGAUCGAACUCACAUGUGUGGCAAAACAUGGAGAUGAUUUGUGGUUAGGAGUGAAAGGCUAAUCAAACUCGGAGAUAGCUGGUUUUCCGCGAAAUCUAUUGAAGUAGAGCAUUUAAAAUCUUUUUUUGGGGUAGAGCACUCAUUGAGCUAGGGGGCGUAAAAACUUACUGAACUCUUAGAAACUCCGAAUACAAAAAAAAGUUAUUUAAAUAGACAGACAUUAGGCGCUAAGGUCUAUUGUCAAGAGGGAAACAGCCCAGAUUGAUCGCUAAGGUCUCUAAAUAAUAUUCUAAGUGAAAAAGGAAGUGAAAAAAUAAUUACAACCAGUAGGUAGGCUUGGAAGCAGCCAUCCUUUAAAGAAAGCGUAAUAGCUCAUUGGUCUAGUUUUUUUGCGCCUAAAAUGUAUCGAGACUUAAGAAAUUUACCGAAGCGGCAAGUUUUAUUUAUAAUAAAACGGUAGCGGAACAUUCUGUAUGUUGAUAAAGAUAUGUUGUAAAAUAUAUUGAAGAUAUCAGAAAAGAAAAUGCUGGCAUUAGUAACAAAAAAUAAUGAAUAAGAAUCAUUAUCACCGUAAAUCCAAGGGUUUCUAUGUUAAAAUGUAUUUCAUAGAGUGAAACGGCCCCUAAGAAAGAUUUGACGAAAGCAAAUUUUGAUGGGAUAAUUUUUAAAUUAAAUUUUUUAAAAAAAGUGACAAAAAGUUUUACUUUUUCAGGAAAUAGCUUUUUUUAAAAAAAACCGUACCCUAAACCGACACAGGUGGAUAGGUCGAGUAGACUAAGGUGGAUGAGAGAAUUAUAUUGAAGGAACUCGGCAAAAUGACUCUGUAACUUCGGGAUAAAGAGUACCUAAAUAUUAUAUUUAGUGUCACAAAAUAGGGGUUGCGACUGUUUA
Molecule: non-coding RNA, 1105 nt
Filed under: Globisporangium ultimum DAOM BR144
Lineage: Eukaryota; Oomycota; Peronosporomycetes; Pythiales; Pythiaceae
Description: Pythium ultimum DAOM BR144 Bacterial large subunit ribosomal RNA
Rfam family: Bacterial large subunit ribosomal RNA
Source: Rfam by way of RNAcentral